Molecule: ribosomal RNA, 253 nt
Filed under: uncultured bacterium
Lineage: Bacteria
Description: partial 16S ribosomal RNA
Rfam family: Bacterial small subunit ribosomal RNA
Source: RNAcentral
UACGUAGGUGACCAGCGUUGUCCGGAUUUACUGGGCGUAAAGAGCGCGCAGGCGGUCGUUCAAGUCGAGUGUGAAAGCCCCCGGCUCAACUGGGGAGGGUCAUUCGAUACUGAUCGACUUGAAGGCAGGAGAGGGAAGUGGAAUUCCCGGUGUAGUGGUGAAAUGCGUAGAUAUCAGGAGGAACACCGGUGGUGUAGACGGCUUUCUGGACCGUAACUGACGCUGAGACACGAAAGCGUGGGUAGCAAACAGG